Molecule: long non-coding RNA, 626 nt
Organism: Raphanus sativus (radish)
Lineage: Eukaryota; Viridiplantae; Streptophyta; Magnoliopsida; Brassicales; Brassicaceae
Exons: 2
Source: RefSeq, a predicted model, not a curated record
CUUCAGAUAACAAGUGAUAAGAGGUAAUGGCGGUAAAAGGUCAUUUUCAUUGUCAGCCUAGCUAAACAUAGACUUCUUCUCGGAUAUCCAAAAGCGUGUGGCAGAAGUUUCGCGCUCUAUCAUGAUGCUCAGAUUCUUGCGAUUCUCAAGAACUCACUCUCCAUUCUUUCACAAGAUGACAAUAUCUAGAAAUGCUUACAAUACCUUCAAAUCUCUCUUACAGAUGGCGGAGAUAAGAAAUUCAAUUGGCUGGUGAAUGGCAACUAACUAUACAUGAGAUCCCUGAUUCGAUUCAAGAAGGGAAUACAAACUUCUGGUGAAACAGAAUCACGGCCUCAAAACCAAGCAGAGAGGCUAGUGCCAAAAUGAGACUUUGGCUCUGUCUCCCUUGUGUGGAUUGGUAAUCCCCCCAGUCUGAAUUGUUCUACACCCGACCUUUCAGAGUUGACUACCACGCUCUGUUGGGCAAUACCUUAACCAACAUUACAAAUGGGAUUGUAGCUAGAAGUUUUGUUAGUUAAAGAACAAAGAAGCUGUGGAUUGUUCAUCACGAACCAGUAUACUUAAAAACAGAACUUCAGCAUCCUAGAUUGCUAUUAUCAGAAAUAAAGUUAUUUUUAUUUUUA